GUGCCAGCAGCCGCGGUAAUACGUAGGGUGCGAGCGUUGUCCGGAAUUACUGGGCGUAAAGAGCUCGUAGGUGGUUUGUCGCGUUGUUCGUGAAAACUCACAGCUUAACUGUGGGCGUGCGGGCGAUACGGGCAGACUAGAGUACUGCAGGGGAGACUGGAAUUCCUGGUGUAGCGGUGGAAUGCGCAGAUAUCAGGAGGAACACCGGUGGCGAAGGCGGGUCUCUGGGCAGUAACUGACGCUGAGGAGCGAAAGCGUGGGGAGCGAACAGGAUUAGAUACCCUGGUAGUCCACGCCGUAAACGGUGGGUACUAGGUGUGGGUUCCUUCCUUGGGAUCCGUGCCGUAGCUAACGCAUUAAGUACCCCGCCUGGGGAGUACGGCCGCAAGGCUAAAACUCAAAGGAAUUGACGGGGGCCCGCACAAGCGGCGGAGCAUGUGGAUUAAUUCGAUGCAACGCGAAGAACCUUACCUGGGUUGACAUGCACAGGACGCCGGCAGAGAUGUC
This 507-nucleotide ribosomal RNA is filed under the name uncultured organism. RNAcentral describes it as "SSU rRNA". It matches the Rfam family "Bacterial small subunit ribosomal RNA", at positions 505 to 1010 of the family's 1533-position model. The record is from RNAcentral.